RNAcentral lists this ribosomal RNA (235 nucleotides) under uncultured bacterium. RNAcentral describes it as "partial 16S ribosomal RNA". It matches the Rfam family "Bacterial small subunit ribosomal RNA", at positions 99 to 334 of the family's 1533-position model. The record is from RNAcentral.
CGGACGGGUGAGUAACGCGUGGGUAACCUACCCUGUACACACGGAUAACAUACCGAAAGGUAUGCUAAUACGGGAUAAUAUAUUUGAGAGGCAUCUCUUGGAUAUCAAAGGUGAGCCAGUACAGGAUGGACCCGCGUCUGAUUAGCUAGUUGGUAAGGUAACGGCUUACCAAGGCGACGAUCAGUAGCCGACCUGAGAGGGUGAUCGGCCACAUUGGAACUGAGACAUGGUCCAA